This 253-nucleotide ribosomal RNA is filed under the name uncultured bacterium. RNAcentral's name for it is "partial 16S ribosomal RNA". It matches the Rfam family "Bacterial small subunit ribosomal RNA", at positions 524 to 776 of the family's 1533-position model. The record is from RNAcentral.
UACGUAGGGCGCAAGCGUUAUCCGGAAUUAUUGGGCGUAAAGAGCUCGUAGGCGGUUUGUCGCGUCUGCCGUGAAAGUCCGGGGCUCAACUCCGGAUCUGCGGUGGGUACGGGCAGACUAGAGUGAUGUAGGGGAGACUGGAAUUCCUGGUGUAGCGGUGAAAUGCGCAGAUAUCAGGAGGAACACCGGCGGCGAAGGCGGGUCUCUGGGCCGUAACUGACACUGAGGAGCGAAAGCGUGGGGAGCGAACAGG